UAGCCAAUAGCCAUAGCUCACUGUAGGAUAGUAGCUGUGAAGCUAGCCAAUAGCCAUAGCUCACUAUACUAUAGUAGCUGUGAAGGUAACCAGUAGCCAUAGCUCACUAUACUAUAGUAGCUGUGAAGCUAGUCAGUAGUUAUAGCUCACUAUACUAUAGUAGCUGUGAAGGUAACCAGUAGCCAUAGCUCACUUUAAUAUAGUAGCUGUGAAGCUAGCCAAUAGCCAUAGCUCACUAUACUAUAGUAGCUGUGAAGGUAACCAGUAGCCAUAGCUCACUUUAAUAUAGUAGCUGUGAAGCUAGUCAGUAGUUAUAGCUCACUAUACUAUAGUGGCUGGAUUGCUGUGUUCGUGGAUGGAGAGCAGAACACACAAUAUAGCAAAAUGAUGGAAUUUAUUAUUAUUUAAAAUAACUGAGACUUAGAAUAACUUGAUCAUGUCCUUUUGUACAGAUGUAACAUCACUGUAGAAAUUGGAAUUAUGCAACAUCAAAUCUAACUUGGUAUGUUGGGAAAAUCACGAGAAGCAGCUAGCUAGGUGAGGAGGAGAAGCCAUUAAGGGACAUGACAAGGAGCAGUUAAAAAUGUAAGGAGGUGAGGAGGAGCAUGCAGGCAGAUUGGGAGGUGACAAGUAGCCGGAUGGGUGGGGGAUGUAGGGCCCAGGCCAAGGUCAGAGUUCAAGAAUUGACAAGAUGGACAUUUAAUGUUAAUAAAGGUUGUUUGUAGUUUGUUGAUGUGAUGUGUUUAAUGUGAAAGUGUUGAAUGGAAAAGAGGAAUGUGUUUUAAUGAAACAAAAGGAGUAAAAGUGCUAGCUAAGAAAUGGUGUGGGCAAGCGAAUCAUUAAGCUUACAAUUCUGCGAUAUACCAUGUCCAUCUGAACAAUUUGCCCAAUUUAACCAUCUGGCUCAUGUGAUUGUGGUAAACCAUCUGGCUCAAGAGACAAUGUUUAACCGCAUGUCAAGUCACUGUAUGCAGCUCACCUUUAUGUUAUCAUUAGCUAGCUCAUUAGGAAAGUUUGGCAUUGUGACUAGUGACAACAUUAACGUUACAUUUCUACACCUUUAAGAUUACUUAUAGUUUGACUUUGCUAACUAACUUAAUAGCUAACCAUGAACCACUGACGUCCAAUAGCUACCAGUUAAAUUACUGUGGCAUAUAGUGUAGGAUGUCACCCCCAUUUAAGAUUAAAUCUUAUUUCCUCCCAAGCAGUGGAAAGAAUGGUGUUGAAGUAGUAGGACUACUUUCCCGCUAAAAUAUUUUGGAUUACUUUCACGCAUAUUUUAUGGAAUUUAUUUUUUGCAGUGUGGGAAGGGGUGGACUCAGGUAAUAGGUGGACCUAUUGAAUCAUUCAACAAAUGACAAGGACGCUCUACAAGACCAAAUUAAAUCAAUCAAAUCAGCAGUUACCUAGCCUGAAACCCAAAAGAGCAAGCAACAACUGAGUUGAUGCACAGUGGCUUGGAAGAACUCUCUAGUUGGGUUGGGAAAGAAGACUGAACGGUGGCCAGUCCUAUUCUUGCUGUGCUGGGUGAACAUCAUGAGUAAUACCUUUUAGGCCCCAUCAAUUACUUAAAUUCUCAGAUGAAAGGAUAAUAAAUGCAUGGUCUGAGUCCAGAGUCCUUAAACUAAGGUGGACUAGGACAGGGACAAUUAGGUGGGGUGUGGGCUGUGGCUGCAGGAAUCAUCAGGCAGCAACUUGAUCUGCAACACAACCAGGAGUACUUUGGACAGGGACAGCUACGGGUCAUUUGGGCCUGGUAGUCCCGAGGCACAGUCCAAGGGCCCAUGUCCUCCUGAGGUUAAACAGGACACCAGGAAAGGUGGAGAGAGCAUUCCUUGGAUGCAAAAGGAUACAUGUUAAAGUUACAACAACUACAAUGAGCAGGCAUAAUAGUACUUAGCUUCAGCAAGUCAGGAGUUGAUAUGUCCAAAUAUGUUACCAGUGUGAAAAAGUUGAAUGAAAAAUAAUACAUUGGUAAACUCAUAAAUAAAGAAUUUAACAAAAUUAAUUCAUAAAAUGCUUAGUCGAAAUUUUUUUGGACAGGUGGCCAAGUAGAUACAACAAAAAACAGCAAGUAGCGCACAGCAUGUCAAAAUGACCAUGUAUCCUCAUGAUUUUAUACAGGAAAUGACAGGUUAUUUUUGUUAGCCCAACAUUAACAUUAAAUAUAAAGAAUUCAAAUGGAAAUAGAAAUUGAUUUAGUCAAACAUUUUUAAGGUAUUUCUUUGUCUUUUCACCAUCUUGUCAUUGUCAGGAAAAAAAGUUUAGACAGUGUUUUUUAUUAGAGCAUCGUUAACAAAAUGAACGACUUCACGGUCCAGCACCCAAAAACAAAACUGGGUUUGAGAAAGGUGGAUCUAGACAUUUGCACUGAUGGGGUUUGUCUUUUGCUGUAACUGAUGUUAUUAUUGCAGGAUUUUACUUGCAAGACUUUCAGACUCUCCUUAUAAAAAACCAC
Molecule: long non-coding RNA, 2458 nt
Organism: Esox lucius (northern pike)
Lineage: Eukaryota; Metazoa; Chordata; Actinopteri; Esociformes; Esocidae
Source: Ensembl